GGGUUGUGAGGUUAAGCGACUAAGCGUACACGGUGGAUGCCCUGGCAGUCAGAGGCGAUGAAGGACGUGCUAAUCUGCGAUAAGCGCCGGUAAGGUGAUAUGAACCGUUAUAACCGGCGAUUUCCGAAUGGGGAAACCCAGUGUGACUCGUCACACUAUCAUUAACUGAAUCCAUAGGUUAAUGAGGCGAACCGGGGGAACUGAAACAUCUAAGUACCCCGAGGAAAAGAAAUCAACCGAGAUUCCCCCAGUAGCGGCGAGCGAACGGGGAGGAGCCCAGAGCCUGAAUCAGCAUGUGUGUUAGUGGAAGCGUCUGGAAAGGCGCGCGAUACAGGGUGACAGCCCCGUACACAAAAGCGCAUGUGCUGUGAGCUCGAUGAGUAGGGCGGGACACGUGGUAUCCUGUCUGAAUAUGGGGGGACCAUCCUCCAAGGCUAAAUACUCCUGACUGACCGAUAGUGAACCAGUACCGUGAGGGAAAGGCGAAAAGAACCCCGGCGAGGGGAGUGAAAAAGAACCUGAAACCGUG
This 529-nucleotide ribosomal RNA is filed under the name Salmonella enterica subsp. enterica serovar Oranienburg. RNAcentral describes it as "partial 23S ribosomal RNA". It matches the Rfam family "Bacterial large subunit ribosomal RNA", at positions 1 to 560 of the family's 2925-position model. The record is from RNAcentral. Lineage: Bacteria; Pseudomonadati; Pseudomonadota; Gammaproteobacteria; Enterobacterales; Enterobacteriaceae.